UUGACAUGCAGAGAACUUCCAGAGAUGGAUUGGUGCCUUCGGGAACGUCUGACACAGGUGCUGCAUGGCUGUCGUCAGCUCGUGUCGUGAGAUGUUGGGUUAAGUCCGUAACGAGCGCAACCCUUGUCCUUAGUUACCAGCACGUUAUGGUGGGCACUCUAAGGAGACUGCCGGUGACAAACCGGAGGAAGGUGGGGAGUGACGUCAAGUCAUCAUGGCCCUUACGGCCUGGGCUACACACGUGCUACAAUGGUCGGUACAAAGGGUUGCCAAGCCGCGAGGUGGAGCUAAUCCCAUAAAACCGAUCGUAGUCCGGAUCGCAGUCUGCAACUCGACUGCGUGAAGUCGGAAUCGCUAGUAAUCGUGAAUCAGAAUGUCACGGUGAAUACGUUCCCGGGCCUU
This 402-nucleotide ribosomal RNA is filed under the name uncultured Pseudomonas sp. Its description in RNAcentral is "bacterial SSU rRNA". It matches the Rfam family "Bacterial small subunit ribosomal RNA", at positions 981 to 1382 of the family's 1533-position model. Lineage: Bacteria; Pseudomonadati; Pseudomonadota; Gammaproteobacteria; Pseudomonadales; Pseudomonadaceae. The record is from RNAcentral.